RNAcentral lists this ribosomal RNA (449 nucleotides) under uncultured bacterium. Its description in RNAcentral is "partial 16S ribosomal RNA". It matches the Rfam family "Bacterial small subunit ribosomal RNA", at positions 330 to 793 of the family's 1533-position model. The record is from RNAcentral.
UCCAGACUCCUACGGGAGGCAGCAGUGGGGAAUAUUGGGCAAUGGGCGCAAGCCUGACCCAGCAACGCCGCGUGAAGGAAGAAGGCUUUCGGGUUGUAAACUUCUUUUCUCAGGGACGAAGAAAGUGACGGUACCUGAGGAAUAAGCCACGGCUAACUACGUGCCAGCAGCCGCGGUAAUACGUAGGUGGCAAGCGUUAUCCGGAUUUACUGGGUGUAAAGGGAGCGUAGACGGUUAUGCAAGUCUGAAGUGAAAGCCCAAGGCUCAACCAUGGGACUGCUUUUGAAACUGUCAAACUAGAGUACGGGAGAGGUAAGAGGAAUUCCUAGUGUAGCGGUGAAAUGCGUAGAUAUAAGGAAGAACACCAGUGGCGAAGGCGGAUGACUGGACGAUAACUGACGGUGAGGCGCGAAAGCGUGGGGAGCAAACAGGAUUAGAUACCCUGGUAC